This is a long non-coding RNA of Papaver somniferum (opium poppy), 725 nucleotides long. RefSeq lists it as uncharacterized. The transcript is spliced from 3 exons. The record is from RefSeq and is a predicted model, not a curated record. Lineage: Eukaryota; Viridiplantae; Streptophyta; Magnoliopsida; Ranunculales; Papaveraceae.
AACACAAUGAGGUGAACAGUUUCAAUUUUUUUCUUUUUUCGAAACACCUCGUCGUCGACUCUUACAAGUUUCCAUUGCCUCUUGAGAUGGAAGUACAUGAGAUCCAUUUACUUGAAUCAUGAUUUCAACAUCGCAGUAUUUCUUCUUCUCCUCGAUCGGUCACUUCUUCAUUUCGUAUCUCAACAAGGAGGCUUCGUAACAAUCCAAGAAGAUGAAUCCUACUCAGAUCCAGAUGAAUUUACACUUAGAUAAUAUACACUCGAAUCGAAUCUUAAUGUGCUCACCUCAUAAUGUGAAGAUCCAUCAUAAUCAUCAUGAGAAGAUGCAAAAAGAAGAUUAAUAUUCAGAUGAUGCAGAUGCUGUGAACGCUCUGAAUGACCUGAUUUUAUGGUAGAGAGGCUGAGUUAUUGCAUAAAAAUGGGGAGGAUGGGGUAGUGUUUAUAUUCCUAUUCCAGAGUAGGGAGAUGAGUUUAGUAAGUCAGCUAGUAAGGGGAAACAUAAAGCUUCAACUUAAUGGUAAGAACCAUAUGAAUUUAUGCUUAGUGAUCCUAUGUCCUCUUAGAAUGGAGUAACUGCUAUGUCGUGGUAUAGCGAUCCUGAGCUGUUUAUGUACUAUGUAGUUGCAAAGUUUACAUGACGAGGGUCAGUAUCUCUCUUCAUGAUGUUAUUUAAAUUUCUCUAAUCAUCCCUCCUUUGACUAUGGCAAAAAGUGCGAUUUUGACACA